This 82-nucleotide transfer RNA is filed under the name Gammaproteobacteria bacterium. RNAcentral describes it as "tRNA-Leu". It matches the Rfam family "tRNA". Rfam says of the family: Transfer RNA (tRNA) molecules are approximately 80 nucleotides in length. Their secondary structure includes four short double-helical elements and three loops (D, anti-codon, and T loops). Lineage: Bacteria; Pseudomonadati; Pseudomonadota; Gammaproteobacteria. The record is from RNAcentral. RNAcentral also lists the same sequence under 1 other name.
GCCCAGAUGGCGGAAUUGGUAGACGCGCUGGUCUCAAACACCAGUGGGGCAACCCAUGCCGGUUCGAUCCCGGCUCUGGGUA